This 218-nucleotide long non-coding RNA is filed under the name Lathyrus oleraceus (garden pea). Its description in RNAcentral is "Pisum sativum (pea) long non-coding RNA (PSAT_LNC027815)". Lineage: Eukaryota; Viridiplantae; Streptophyta; Magnoliopsida; Fabales; Fabaceae. The record is from RNAcentral.
UUUAUAUGAGAGGGAAUUAGUUCUUUGCAGAUGAGUUCCCUUCAGUCUCUGGAGGUUGCUCUGAACUCUGUUAGCUCUUCUCUCACUAUCUUUUUCCCCAGGAUUUUUUUGGGAGAUGGAAGUCUAGAAUUUAUAACCUGAUUUUUGUGACUUUGUGGGCUCAAAAGAGAGAGGUCCAAGUCCAAGAUUUUUCUGUUAUAUUUUAUUUAUUUAUUUAU